RNAcentral lists this transfer RNA (73 nucleotides) under Methanobacteriota archaeon. Its description in RNAcentral is "Euryarchaeota archaeon tRNA-Leu". It matches the Rfam family "tRNA". Rfam says of the family: Transfer RNA (tRNA) molecules are approximately 80 nucleotides in length. Their secondary structure includes four short double-helical elements and three loops (D, anti-codon, and T loops). The record is from RNAcentral. Lineage: Archaea; Methanobacteriati; Methanobacteriota.
GCUGGGAUGCCCGAGUGGUCUAAGGGGCCAGACUCAAGCACUGACUGCGUGGGUUCGAACCCCACUCUCAGCA